This 506-nucleotide ribosomal RNA is filed under the name uncultured bacterium. Its description in RNAcentral is "partial 16S ribosomal RNA". It matches the Rfam family "Bacterial small subunit ribosomal RNA", at positions 30 to 523 of the family's 1533-position model. The record is from RNAcentral.
AUUGAACGCUGGCGGCAGGCUUAACACAUGCAAGUCGAGCGGUAACAGAGAGAAGCUUGCUUCUCUGCUGACGAGCGGCGGACGGGUGAGUAAUGCCUAGGAAUCUGCCUAGUAGUGGGGGAUAACUUGCCGAAAGGUAAGCUAAUACCGCAUACGUCCUACGGGAGAAAGGAGGGGACCUUCGGGCCUAUCGCUAUUAGAUGAGCCCAGGUCUGAUUAGUUAGUUGGUGAGGUAAUGGCUCACCAAGACCGCGAUCCGUAACUGGUCUGAGAGGAUGAUCAGUCACACUGGAACUGAGACACGGUCCAGACUCCUACGGGAGGCAGCAGUGAGGAAUAUUGGACAAUGGGGGGAACCCUGAUCCAGCCAUGCCGCGUGUGUGAAGAAGGUCUUAGGAUUGUAAAGCACUUUAAGUUGGGAGGAAGAGCAGUUAACUAAUAUUUGACUGUUUUGACGUUACCGACAGAAUAGGCACCGGCUAACUUCGUGCCAGCCGCCGCCGUAA